RNAcentral lists this ribosomal RNA (765 nucleotides) under uncultured Streptococcus sp. RNAcentral's name for it is "bacterial SSU rRNA". It matches the Rfam family "Bacterial small subunit ribosomal RNA", at positions 28 to 776 of the family's 1533-position model. The record is from RNAcentral. Lineage: Bacteria; Bacillati; Bacillota; Bacilli; Lactobacillales; Streptococcaceae.
GAUGAACGCUGGCGGCGUGCCUAAUACAUGCAAGUAGAACGCUGAAGCUUGGUGCUUGCACCGAGCGGAUGAGUUGCGAACGGGUGAGUAACGCGUAGGUAACCUGCCUCUUAGCGGGGGAUAACUAUUGGAAACGAUAGCUAAUACCGCAUAAAAGUCGAUAUCGCAUGAUAUUGAUUUGAAAGGUGCAAUUGCAUCACUAAGAGAUGGACCUGCGUUGUAUUAGCUAGUUGGUGAGGUAACGGCUCACCAAGGCGACGAUACAUAGCCGACCUGAGAGGGUGAUCGGCCACACUGGGACUGAGACACGGCCCAGACUCCUACGGGAGGCAGCAGUAGGGAAUCUUCGGCAAUGGGGGCAACCCUGACCGAGCAACGCCGCGUGAGUGAAGAAGGUUUUCGGAUCGUAAAGCUCUGUUGUAAGAGAAGAACGAGUGUGAGAGUGGAAAGUUCACACUGUGACGGUAACUUACCAGAAAGGGACGGCUAACUACGUGCCAGCAGCCGCGGUAAUACGUAGGUCCCGAGCGUUAUCCGGAUUUAUUGGGCGUAAAGCGAGCGCAGGCGGUUAGAUAAGUCUGAAGUUAAAGGCUGUGGCUUAACCAUAGUACGCUUUGGAAACUGUUUAACUUGAGUGCAGAAGGGGAGAGUGGAAUUCCAUGUGUAGCGGUGAAAUGCGUAGAUAUAUGGGGGAACACCGGUGGCGAAAGCGGCUCUCUGGUCUGUAACUGACGCUGAGGCUCGAAAGCGUGGGGAGCAAACAGG